RNAcentral lists this non-coding RNA (23 nucleotides) under Arabidopsis thaliana (thale cress). The record is from RNAcentral. Lineage: Eukaryota; Viridiplantae; Streptophyta; Magnoliopsida; Brassicales; Brassicaceae.
AGGUGAGGAAUCUAUUGCACUGG